Molecule: ribosomal RNA, 254 nt
Filed under: uncultured bacterium
Lineage: Bacteria
Description: partial 16S ribosomal RNA
Rfam family: Bacterial small subunit ribosomal RNA
Source: RNAcentral
UACGUAGGGGGCGAGCGUUGUCCGGAUUUAUUGGGCGUAAAACGCUUGUAGGCGGCCGCAUCGCGUCGUGCGUGAAAUCUCCCGGCUCAACUGGGAGGGGUCGUGCGAUACGGAUGGGCUCGAGGCCGGUAGGGGGACGCGGAAUUCCCGGUGUAGUGGUGGAAUGCGUAGAUAUCGGGAGGAACCCCAGUGGCGCAGGCGGCGUCCUGGACCGGCACUGACGCUGAGGAGCGAAAGCGUGGGGAGCGAUCCGG